RNAcentral lists this transfer RNA (66 nucleotides) under Lepidotrigona flavibasis. RNAcentral describes it as "tRNA-Val". The record is from RNAcentral. Lineage: Eukaryota; Metazoa; Arthropoda; Insecta; Hymenoptera; Apidae.
AAAAUUUUAGUUUAUAAAAAACUUCUUAUUUACAAUAAGAUAAAUUAAUUAAAUUUAAGAAUUUUA